This is a non-coding RNA of Pogona vitticeps (central bearded dragon), 1633 nucleotides long. The record is from RefSeq and is a predicted model, not a curated record. NCBI's taxonomy places the organism in Eukaryota, Metazoa, Chordata, Lepidosauria, Squamata, Agamidae.
UUGGAAGAAGCUAACCGGGACGCUGACCUCCACCAUGUGGCUUGUAACUUUGUCAAGAAGCCGGGCAAGGUCUACUACCUAUACAAGAGGGAAAAUGGCCAACGCUACUUCUCUAUGCUUUCUCCAGAGGAAUGGGGGGCCAGCUGUCCCAGCGAGUUCCUGGGGGGCUACAAGCUGCAGCACGACAUGUCUUGGACCCCUUCGGAUGAGAUGGAGAAGCGGGACGCCGAGCUCAACGUCCUGGAGAAGUUGCUGAACCAACAGGCGUCUCUCCCGCCGUGCAGUGAGCCCAACUUCCGAGGCCUUACGAUGUGAUGCCAACUGUGGGUGGAAACGAUGCUCUCUUUCCCAUCUAUCCAAUUCCGCUCCUCCCCGGAAAUGGGUCCAGCGGGGAGAAAUAAAAACAGGACAGCGAUGGGUGGUCUGGUUUAUCGAAGCCCCCUUGCUUAGUUUUUUUUUCAUUGGAUACCAGCAUGGGGACCAGCGUCCAAUUUUAAUUAGCCUUGUUUCAGCCCUUGGUGUUAUUUUUCCCAGACUCUACAAGGAAUCCAUAAAAAGGAGUUUUGGGUUGGUGUAGGGGUCCACCCAAAGAGCUAGGCAAGCUUCACCUUGCCCCAUUUUUAUAGCCAUAAUCCGAGACGUACUUAUUUCCUCCGUGUUUUGAAUGCAGUGGAAUUUACUUCUGAGAAAAUGUGCCCAGGACGGCAACGUUGGAGAUUAUAUUUACAUUCUGUCUUCUCUAGAAAACACAAAGAAGCAUCUAUGUGCUUUCUCCUUGCCUUUUAAUUUUCACAGUUCACCCUGAGAUAGAUUGGACUGAGAAUUACUACUCUGGCCCAGCUUGGUGGCUACGGAGGGUGUCAUCAUCUUAGAACUUCAGAGCUGGAAGGGACCCUAUGGGGCAUCAGUGGGGAAUCGAACCCCCAACCCGUCAGAGACCUAAACCACUGAGCUACCGAGCAGUUCCGCCUGACACUGUAUCCUGGAGAUUGUUUUUCUGGUACCCUGCCUCCCAUGGACAGCUGGGACUACAGUUCCCUCACUUUUCAAACCUUUGGCCAAGUUUUUUGAAUUUCUCAGAACAGUAGUCCUAUAAUCGGGAUGGUGCUCAUCUCUCUACCUCUGCUCUGCACCACAGUGGAUUAUCCACCGGAACAGUCAUGGCCGUAUUUAACAGAGAGUCUUAACUUAGUUUUUCAAAAGCGUUGAUGCCCGGAUCAUAUGUCUCCUUUAACAGAUGCUAAUCUGAUCAUUCAGAUCUCCCGGGCUCAUUCUGAAACCUGUAACCUACCAAGUUACUUGUUCAAGUCCUUAGGGAGUGGUACAGUAUGCAGAGACACACGAGAGACCUUUUGGGGGCUUUAUUGCCGCCGUCACGGACUGGCCUCUUCUUGAAGGCCAACCUGAUCUCAAAACUGCCCUUAUUUCACAAGCAGGUUGAAACCUGGCUUGUUCAACCAUGGAUUUGGGGCUCAGCGCGAUCCUGGCUUGAUUUCUGAUAUAUCGGACUGUCGGUUUCAUUUUUUUUUUAGCCUUAGGGUGUUCUAAAGUUAUUUCGUGGGUUGUGCUUCACCCUGAGAUCUGCUGAUAUUGGGAGGGCUAUAAUCGCUUUAAUAAAUAAUAACUGGAGGCA